Pieris rapae (cabbage white) is the source of this 673-nucleotide RNA transcript. It is a transcript of the gene named L-dopachrome tautomerase yellow-f2-like, with no coding region annotated. The record is from RefSeq and is a predicted model, not a curated record. The transcript is spliced from 5 exons. Lineage: Eukaryota; Metazoa; Arthropoda; Insecta; Lepidoptera; Pieridae.
AUGACGUCUCACACAAACAAAACACUGUCGCAAACUGUUAACUACGGAGUCUGCGCCGGGCUCAAUGUCAUUGUCAAAAUGAAUCAUCGCGUAACCGUUAACUUGUUAAUAUGGGCUUCGUUUGAAAUGUCUAGUAUUGCAAGAUCGAUACGGUGAUGUUGACGAUGAGCGUAUGAAGAGAGAGACAGACAGACUGGUUUUCUCCACUGCGGAGGAGCAGAACUCGAAUUAUGGACCUGUGACAACUCCGCCUGAUACAAAUGCUGACGCGAACAAAUUCUUCAUACAAUACAACAAUGUGCCCAUGGGUGCCGAGAAAGUUGGGCAUCGAUUAUUCAUCGCAUUACCUCGACGUAGAUAUGGAAUACCCGCUACGUUAAACUACAUAGAUUUAAACGAUCAAAAUGGCCGAUCGCCAGCCCUGAAACCCUAUCCGAAUAUAUAUUCAGGUAGAUCCCUUAUAUCUGUUUAUCGAACACGAGCAGAAACAUGCGGAAGGCUGUGGAUGGUGGAUACUGGAUUACUGGAGUUGCCGGGUAAGUUGAACCGCCCUUGUCAACGUCUGUCAUAUGACCCGAUAACCUGGUAAACUACUGUUUGUUCAAGACUCAAGACCGCCUAAUUAGACCGACUUUUUUUAUAGAACAGGGGGCAAACGGGCAGGAGGCUCACC